CCUACGGGAGGCAGCAGUGGGGGAUAUUGCACAAUGGGGGAAACCCUGAAGCAGCGACGCCGCGUGGGCGAAGAAGUAUUUCGGUAUGUAAAGCCCUAUCAGCAGGGAAGAAGAAAUGACGGUACCGGAGUAAGAAGCACCGGCUAAAUACGGGCCAGCAGCCGCGGUAAUACGUAUGGUGCAAGCGUUAUCCGGAUUUACGGGGUGUAAGGGGAGCGCAGGCGGGACGGCAAGCCUGAUGUGAAAGCCAGCGGUCCAACCGGGGGACUGCCUUGGGAACUGCCGGGCUGGAGUGCCGGUGAGGUAGGCGGCAUUCCUGGUGUAGCGGUGAAAUGCGUAGAUAUUAGGAGGAACACCAGUUGCGAAGGCGGCCUACUGGACGGUGACUGACGCUGAGGCUCGAAAGCGUGGGGAGCAAACAGGAUUAGAUACCCUUGUAGUC
This 442-nucleotide ribosomal RNA is filed under the name uncultured bacterium. RNAcentral describes it as "partial 16S ribosomal RNA". It matches the Rfam family "Bacterial small subunit ribosomal RNA", at positions 338 to 795 of the family's 1533-position model. The record is from RNAcentral.